Cervus elaphus (red deer) is the source of this 2139-nucleotide RNA transcript. It is a transcript of the gene named nei like DNA glycosylase 1, with no coding region annotated. NCBI's taxonomy places the organism in Eukaryota, Metazoa, Chordata, Mammalia, Artiodactyla, Cervidae. The record is from RefSeq and is a predicted model, not a curated record. The transcript has 8 exons.
GAGGAAGGGGGACACCCCUCUUGGCCCGAGACGCUGACCCGGGCAUUUCCUAUGUCCCCCUGGACCAUGGCCUGGAGCUUCGGGAGCCCUUCCUGGCGCCCCAUCCUUCUCCCUCAAAGUCGUGUGUCCCUGACUCUAGCUCUAAUGUACCUGAAGACAACUACAUUCCCUCUUACUUGGCCUCGGCCUCGGUCCUGACCAGUGGGUGAUGGGCAGGCUCCUCCACCUUGUCUGCCGGCAGAGCCUGUGAGCCACCGUUAUCCCAGCUCUUAUCUUCCAGGCUCAUUCCCUCAAUCAUUGUGGCAACGGAGGUGUUGCCUGAUUCUUGGGGAGAUGAGCGUGCACAGUUCCCAUUCUGGGGUGGGAGUGGAGCCAGAGGCAGACAGGAGCUAAUAAUUUCAGGCUCUGGGAGUGCCAUGAAGGGGGUCAGGGAAUGGAGGAUGCUGCCUCCGAUAUAGCGGUCAGGAGGGGCCUCUCUUAAAUGUUUCUAGACGGAGGGGGACGGCAAGGGCCGGGGAUGGGGGUGGGGGGCAGGGAGAGCUGUGUGCUUGGAGCAAGGGGUUUGGCGCACAAGGGAGGAAAUGAGAUGACAGCCUGGGCCCAGGAAGGAUAUGGACUUUAUUCUAAAAUCAGAAAGUGUUCCUGGAAACCCAUGGAAGGUGUUAAUGAACAAGGCAGUCAUGUUUCCCUAGUCAGAGCUCUCCAGUGUCCUGGGCUUUCUCAGCAUUUUCAGGGAUGGGAAGGGGGUGGGGCGGGGGAGGGACAGAGCAGGGGCUGUGGCCAAGCCAGCUGAUUUCCUGCCAAUUCCCAUGACCAUGCCCUCCUCUGACCCUCUGGGUUCUCCUUUGAAAACUGGGAGUGAUAUUGCCACCUCACUGGAUGCACACCUGGCCCAACCUGCUGUCAUCCUCCCCACAGGGCCUGGCCGCCCCUCCCACAGAAUGCCCGAGGGCCCUGAGCUGCAUCUGGCCAGCCAGUUUGUGAACGAGGCUUGCAGAGAGCUGGUGUUUGGUGGGUGUGUGGAGAAGUCACCCGUCAGUCGCAACCCUGAGGUGCCCUUUGAGAGCAGUGCCUACAGCAUCUCGGCGUUGGCCCGCGGCAAGGAGCUGCGCCUGACCCUGAGCCCUCUGCCUGGGGCCCGGCCCCCACGGGAGCCACUGGCCCUUGUCUUCCGCUUUGGCAUGACUGGCUCCUUCCAGCUGGUGCCCAGCGAUGCGCUGCCACCCCACGCCCACCUGCGCUUUUACACAGCUCCACCUGGCCCCCGACUUGCCCUCUGCUUUGUGGACAUCCGCCGAUUCGGCCGCUGGGACCUCGGGGGCGAGUGGCAGCCAGGCCGCGGGCCGUGUGUCUUGCUGGAGUACGAGCAGUUCAGGGAGAAUGUGUUACGAAACCUAGCAGACAAGGCCUUUGACCAGCCCAUCUGUGAGGCCCUGCUGGACCAGAGGUUCUUUAAUGGCAUUGGCAACUAUCUGCGGGCGGAGAUCCUGUACCGGCUGAGGAUCCCCCCCUUCGAGAAGGCCCGCACAGUUCUGGAGGCCCUGCAGCAGCGCAGGCCGGUCCUACCCCUGCCCCUUCUCCAGAGCCCGGAGCUGACCCUGAGCCAGAAGAUCAGGGCCAAGCUGCAGAACCCCGACCUGCUGGAGCUGUGCCACUCGGUGCCCAAGGAAGUGGUCCAGCUGGGGGGCAAAGGCUACGGGUCGGAGAGCGGGGAGGAGGACUUUGCUGCCUUCCGAGCCUGGCUGCGGUGUUACAGUGCACCAGGCAUGAGCUCCCUGCGGGACCGGCAUGGCCGCACCAUCUGGUUCCAGGGGGAUCCUGGACCCCUGGCACCCAAAGGACCCUCCAUCUCCAAACAAGGCCCCUUCAAGGACACGAAGGGCACAGAGAGGCCUUCCUAAACAGACUACAGCCCAGGUGCCCAAGGGGACCAGCCUCCACCAGGACCCAGAAGCUCCCCCAGUCCCUGACACAGGGAAGAGGAGGCGGCGACCAGCACCCUCAGGCCGCCGCAGAACCCGAAAGACCAAGGCUGACACCCCAUCCUUGGAGCCUGAGGGGACCUUAGCCUCCUAGCAAGAGGCUCUUCUUGCUUGUAUCCACCCUUCCUCCUGGCACCCUGGAUCUGGGCCUGUGUGG